CCCGACCAAUCUUGCAACGAGGACAAUCGCAAUGCCCCUCUCGAAUUUCACCUUCUUCAAUCCCAUCAUCAUUCUCUGCUUCACUCCUUGUUCUUUUUCUUGCGACUGUUUCCGGAUUUUCGUUACCUUGCAGUUCUUGGAUCUCUGUUUUCAUAAGUGCGUUGAACAUUUGAGAAAGAACCACGUCUCCUUGAAACAGAUUUUGAAGAGACUUUAUGAGUUCAUCUCCUUGUAUAUGCCGGGACCUAAAUUGUUUCAUCAACCCCAUGUAUUCCUUGAGUUUCGCUUCACUUAGUCUUUCUUUGAUGAACUCCGCUAUAUACAAAAACCAAUGCUUACAUACGGCUUCACUCUCAAUCUUU
This is a long non-coding RNA of Arabidopsis thaliana (thale cress), 362 nucleotides long. RefSeq annotates it as other RNA. The transcript has a single exon. NCBI's taxonomy places the organism in Eukaryota, Viridiplantae, Streptophyta, Magnoliopsida, Brassicales, Brassicaceae. The record is from RefSeq.